ACCCGCUGAACUUAAGCAUAUCAAUAAGCGGAGGAAAAGAAACCAACUGGGAUUGCCUUAGUAACGGCGAGUGAAGCGGCAAUAGCUCAAAUUUGAAAGCUGGCACCUUCGGUGUCCGCGUUGUAAUUUGUAGAGGAUGCUUCGGCGAGGACUCCUGCCUAAGUUCCCUGGAAUGGGACGUCACAGAGGGUGAGAAUCCCGUAUGUGGCGGGCGGUCCAAGCCAUGUGAAGCUCCUUCGACGAGUCGAGUUGUUUGGGAAUGCAGCUCUAAAUGGGAGGUAAAUUUCUUCUAAAGCUAAAUACCGGCCAGAGACCGAUAGCGCACAAGUAGAGUGAUCGAAAGAUGAAAAGCACUUUGGAAAGAGAGUUAAAAAGUACGUGAAAUUGUUGAAAUGGAAGCGCUUGCAACCAGACUCGCUCGCAGUUGCUCAGCCCGCCUCUUGGUGUGCGUACUCUCCUGCGGUCGGGCCAGCAUCAGUUCGGGCGGCUGGAUAAAGGUGUCGGGAAUGUAGCACCCUUCGGGGUGUGUUAUAGCCCGGCGCGGAAUGCAGCCAGCCUGGACUGAGGAUCUCGCUUCGGCAAGGAUGCUGGCGUAAUGGUUGUAAGCGGCCCGUCUUGAAACACGGACCAAGGAGUCUAACAUCUAUGCGAGUGUUUGGGUGUCAAACCCAUGCGCGUAAUGAAAGUGAACGGAGGUGGGAACCCGCAAGGGUGCACCAUCGACCGAUCCUGAUGUCUUCGGAUGGAUUUGAGUAAGAGCAUAGCUGUUGGGACCCGAAAGAUGGUGAACUAUGCCUGAAUAGGGUGAAGCCAGAGGAAACUCUGGUGGAGGCUCGCAGCGGUUCUGACGUGCAAAUCGAUCGUCAAAUUUGGGUAUAGGGGCGAAAGACUAAUCGAACCAUCUAGUAGCUGGUUCCUGCCGAAGUUUCCCUCAGGA
This 937-nucleotide ribosomal RNA is filed under the name Botryosphaeria vaccinii. RNAcentral's name for it is "partial 28S ribosomal RNA". It matches the Rfam family "Eukaryotic large subunit ribosomal RNA", at positions 23 to 978 of the family's 3401-position model. Lineage: Eukaryota; Fungi; Ascomycota; Dothideomycetes; Botryosphaeriales; Botryosphaeriaceae. The record is from RNAcentral.